GCUCUUGUAGCUUAGUUGGUUAGAGGACCCGUUUAUUAAGCAGGAGGUCUUGAGUUCAACUCUCAACAAGAGCA
This 74-nucleotide transfer RNA is filed under the name Ipomoea nil (Japanese morning glory). It matches the Rfam family "tRNA". From Rfam's summary of the family: Transfer RNA (tRNA) molecules are approximately 80 nucleotides in length. Their secondary structure includes four short double-helical elements and three loops (D, anti-codon, and T loops). Lineage: Eukaryota; Viridiplantae; Streptophyta; Magnoliopsida; Solanales; Convolvulaceae. The record is from Rfam by way of RNAcentral.